AAAGUUUUAGUAUAAGUUUUUUAAAGUAUAAACUAUUGUCAAUAGUUAGGUAGAAACUUUA
RNAcentral lists this transfer RNA (61 nucleotides) under Coronocyclus labiatus. RNAcentral's name for it is "tRNA-Asp". The record is from RNAcentral. Lineage: Eukaryota; Metazoa; Nematoda; Chromadorea; Rhabditida; Strongylidae.